GGAGAUGGCAGGCAGCUCAGUCAGGUGAAGCCACUGAGAGAUGAGACCCGACAACCCUGUGGGAAACUGAUGGCAGGAGAGCCUAGGGAAAAGCGGGGCAGUUAUUCAAAGAACAGGUUGCUUAGCACCUUUAAGGAAUUUUGGGGGUGGGGGCAGCAGGAACCCACCAUCACAAAAAUCACUGACAUGCCACAUCAUGGAUGAACCUCAAAAACAUUGUAAGUGAAAGAAGCCAGACACAAAUGACUGGGUAUAGUCUGAUUAUAUUUACGUGAAAUCUCCUGAAAAGGCAAUUCUAUAAAGAUAGAAUGUAGAUUAGUGGGUACCUGGAGUUGGGGGUGAAGAUGGUAAUUAACUACUUGGGCAUAAAGGAUCUAACUGGGAUGAUGAAAAUGUUCUAAAAUUGGGUUUCAGUAACGGUUGCACAACCUGGUAAAUUUAUUAAAAAGUCAUUGAAUUGUACACUUGAAAUGUAUGAAUUUUAUGGUUUGUAAAUCAUAAUGUUAUCCAAAUAAUCUCUGGCAGUGAAAUAAAGAGAAAAAGGAGC
Molecule: long non-coding RNA, 547 nt
Filed under: Pongo abelii (Sumatran orangutan)
Lineage: Eukaryota; Metazoa; Chordata; Mammalia; Primates; Hominidae
Description: lincRNA
Source: RNAcentral